Molecule: ribosomal RNA, 497 nt
Filed under: uncultured bacterium
Lineage: Bacteria
Description: partial 16S ribosomal RNA
Rfam family: Bacterial small subunit ribosomal RNA
Source: RNAcentral
GAUGAACGCUGGCGGCGUGCCUAAUACAUGCAAGUCGAGCGAACGGACGAGAAGCUUGCUUCUCUGAUGUUAGCGGCGGACGGGUGAGUAACACGUGGAUAACCUACCUAUAAGACUGGGAUAACUUCGGGAAACCGGAGCUAAUACCGGAUAAUAUUUUGAACCGCAUGGUUCAAAAGUGAAAGACGGUCUUGCUGUCACUUAUAGAUGGAUCCGCGCUGCAUUAGCUAGUUGGUAAGGUAACGGCUUACCAAGGCAACGAUGCAUAGCCGACCUGAGAGGGUGAUCGGCCACACUGGAACUGAGACACGGUCCAGACUCCUACGGGAGGCAGCAGUAGGGAAUCUUCCGCAAUGGGCGAAAGCCUGACGGAGCAACGCCGCGUGAGUGAUGAAGGUCUUCGGAUCGUAAAACUCUGUUAUUAGGGAAGAACAAAUGUGUAAGUAACUGUGCACAUCUUGACGGUACCUAAUCAGAAAGCCACGGCUAACUACGUG